ACGCUCUGGUUUCUCUUCAGAAUGAAUAAAUCUUUCGCCUUUUGCUAAAGAUUUCUGUGGAGAGGAACAAUUAUGAGUUUAUAGCCAAAUUUUUUGAUGUCCUACUUAGGCAGGGCU
Aotus nancymaae (Ma's night monkey) is the source of this 117-nucleotide small nuclear RNA. Its record names the gene U5. It matches the Rfam family "U5 spliceosomal RNA". Rfam says of the family: U5 RNA is a component of both types of known spliceosome. The record is from Ensembl. Lineage: Eukaryota; Metazoa; Chordata; Mammalia; Primates; Aotidae.